Esox lucius (northern pike) is the source of this 1713-nucleotide long non-coding RNA. The record is from Ensembl. NCBI's taxonomy places the organism in Eukaryota, Metazoa, Chordata, Actinopteri, Esociformes, Esocidae.
UGUGAUGGAUCUUUGUAAACAGCCAAAGAACAUCAUAACGUGUCUGUGUUGUGAUGUCUCUCUCUUUGCUCUGUCUCACUCUGGUCUCUCUUUCCCUGGUCUCUCUCUCUCCUCCAGUCUCUCUUUCUCCUGUCUCCCUGUUCUUUCUCCAGUGUCUGUCUCUCUCUGGUCUCUCUCACUCUCUGGUCUCUCUUUGUUUCUGGUCGGCCUCUCUUUCCGGUUUCUCUCCGAUCUGUCUCCCUCUCCAGUUUGUACAGUUUAUGUCCCAUUAAAUGCAUCUCAGCCUGGUCCUCAUUGUUGACCCUGUGGAACCAUCUAGAAUGUGGAGUUACAUGUAUUUCUGGGGAACUGUUUGUUGUCCUAAAUGGCUCCCUAGCCCCUUGGUGCACUGCUUUUGCCCGGGACCUGUGGGGUCUGAUCAGAAAUACUGCACUCUGAAGGGACCAGGGUGGCAUUUGGGACAUAGGUACUGUUUGUGUCUCAGGUGGCCUACUAUUGGAGGAAGCAACUACUAGCUGAUCCUAGAUCUGCGGUUAGGAUUGGUGUCUAUUCGUCUUAUCCAAUACCUGUGGCUAGAUUAGUGUCUUACUCUUCAGGUUAGGGCUGGUCCUAGAUCUGUGAUUAGGUUAGUAUCUAAUUAAUCUGAUAAGGAUGGUGGAAUCGUAAGAUGAUCCUCAGUCUUUGGUUUAAGGAUCAGUUAUACCCUGGAUUUGUGCCAUCAUUCCAGUCCCAGUAGGCCAAACACAGCUUGGGACAGGAAGUGGCAGGUAGGGCUAUGACAUCACAAAUGAGUACCAGGCUACCAUAAAUGGUCUAGUAUAGAAAAAUCAUUGUAGGAAUAUUUUGUCAUUAAAUCCAAGAUGACGGACACUAUAUCCCCACUCUGAAUUAUGACACCUUAGUUUUUCCAUAAUUUCCAAGCAAGUUCUUAUUUUAUAUUGAAUUACUUUUACAAUGUGUAAAUGGACUAGUCAGUUUGUCUUUUUGUUUUAGUUUGUUUUUAAGACAUUUCCAUCGUGAAUUGCAUUUAAUGCCAUGUUAUGUGGUCGCAUGUGGGCGUCAUCCAAAAUGGCACCCAAUUCCUUAUGAAGCGCACUUCCCGCCUCUGGUUAAAAGCGCUAUUAGAGGGAGCAGAGGGUCAUUUGGGGCGCUUGUUGGAAUCCCCUUGAAAAAAUAGCCCUAUAAUUGACAUGCUGUUUUUAUUAGCGUCACCUUAUUUUAGGAAAUAAAUUUGGCUGUAAGGGAGUUAUGAACGCAACACAGGGCGGGGUUGCUGAUCCAAGAUCGGUGUUGCUGCUUUGAUCAUUCGACCAAUCAAAUAGCGUUACAUGACCGGGGGGGGGGGGGUGGCGAGGCGCGGUUUCCUGAUGUCAGGUGAAAAACGGUGUGCCUUCUCCACUGUCAGCUGUAAGAAUCGUAGAUUGCUGAUUGUCACGGAAACCCGUCAAUACAUGUAUAUUCUGUUUUUAAAAUGUUCAAAUACUUUUAGUUUUAGCUUAUUUGUUGAACAACGUCAGGCUUUGUGUCGUCAUUGAGCCUGCUCUUCACUAUGUAAAUAUGUACAUUGCCAUAUUUCCUAUGUUUCUGCCUGCAGCCGUUUGACAGCCAGACAGUCACUUGAAGUUUAUGAAUGACUGACUAGCUAUGUCAGAGCGCAGGAUUCACUUGUACAUUUCUUUUUUAAAAGGUACUUCGUUAAUAAAGACAUUGAAG